AUUAAUAGUCUGGCCUGCUCACUGACAUAAUAUAGUGUUAAAGAGCCGCGGUAUUCUGACCGUGCAAAGGUAGCAUAAUCAUUAGUUCUUUAAUUGAGAACUUGUAUGAAUGGUCGGACAAGAGAAACCCUGUCUCUACUAUUAUAAUAGAAUUUAACUUUUAAGUGAAAAGGCUUAAAUUUUUCAAGGGGACGAUAAGACCCUAUAAAGCUUUAUAUAUUAAUCAGAAUUAAUUAAAUUGAAUAGAUAAAAAUUUAGUCUUAAAAAUAUAUUUAGUUGGGGCGACGAAAGUAUAAUUGAUAAUAACUGCUUAAACUUUAUACAAUAAUAAAUGAUUUUUUUUUAAUUGAUCCUUUUUAAAGAUUAAAGAUCAAGUUACUUUAGGGAUAACAGCGUAAUUUCUUUUGAGAGUUCAUAUCGAAGAAGAAGUUUGCGACCUCGAUGUUGAAUUAAAAUAUCUUUAUAGUGCAGCAGCUAUAAAAAGAAGGUCUGUCCGACCUUUAA
This 504-nucleotide ribosomal RNA is filed under the name Chaceon ramosae. Its description in RNAcentral is "partial 16S ribosomal RNA". It matches the Rfam family "Archaeal large subunit ribosomal RNA", at positions 1937 to 2660 of the family's 2987-position model. Lineage: Eukaryota; Metazoa; Arthropoda; Malacostraca; Decapoda; Geryonidae. The record is from RNAcentral.